UAGAGGCGGAUGGGGAAAACACAGGACUCCAAACUGAGAGCAAAAGAAGAUUAUUGCUUUGAACCACUCAUGUGGUAACUAAGUCUAGGAACAAUGAGGGUUGCAGCGGAAACAGCGGCAUUGGGAGAGCAAGCUUCCUUCCACCAGCUGCAGUCAAAGCUGCAGGUUCUCUGGGGCAGGGAACUGGUCUGUGCUGUGUUGUAGCUGCCCGAGGACAAACAGUGCAGGUUGAGUAAGAUCCUCUUCAAAGGACCAGAUCCCAGGACUUCAGCCACAGUGGCUCCCGGGAAAGGUAUCCCCUCACGCAAAUGGUGGCAUGAGACCAUCUGAAAGGAAGAAAAAAGCAGAUGGUUAGGCUUUGCUUACGAUGGUUACAUCCCUCUCUAACAAUAGCGAGUGUGUUGAUGAAUUUCACUUCAUAAAUUAUAACUGCUGCGCCUUUAACAGUGGUGAUAGAAAAUAAAUCCAAAUUCUCGACCUCCAACCACAAUAUCAUUAAGGACCUUCACGUCUCCACCCUCUGUGGAUUGCAAACUAUACAUCCAACAUGGUCCCAUGGCACAAUGGAAGAUGAACUCCAAGACCAUCCUCAACAUGCUGUUAGCCCUAAACUGGAGAUCCAGUGGGGAGAGAUGAGGCAAGGAAGUGAAAUACUUGUAGACUGGAGAGGGGAAGAAGAAGAAAUUUAAUACAAGUGAAUCUUAUGUCUAAUAAAUUGGAAAAGAGACAGCUGUUCUCAAUCUUUAGUGAAGAGGGAGCUAGAAUUUAUGCCAUAACAUGAAGCAUAAGAUAAAAAGAGGAAACUCCUAAUCUGGUUAUAGAUGAAGACAUCAUCAGAAAGCUGUGAUGUUGCCUUCACUGGAGGUCUUUAUUUUUUUUUUAAGUUUAUUUUUUUGAAAGAGAGAGAGAAAGAGAGAGUGCACA
Molecule: long non-coding RNA, 924 nt
Organism: Felis catus (domestic cat)
Lineage: Eukaryota; Metazoa; Chordata; Mammalia; Carnivora; Felidae
Exons: 3
Source: RefSeq, a predicted model, not a curated record